UGUGCAGGCGGUCGUGUGCGUCUACGGUGAAAUCUCCUGGCUCAACUGGGAGGGUGCCUUAGAUACGACGCGACUUGAGGAGUAGAGAGGGAAGUAGAACUCCGGGUGGAACAGUGAAAUGUGUAGAGAUCCGGAAGAAUACCAGAGGGGAAGCCGGCUUCCUGGCUACUAUCUGACGCUCAGACACGAAAGCUUGGGGAGCAAACAGGAUUAGAUACCCUGGUAGUCCAAGCUGUAAACGAUGUCCACUAGGUGUGCGGGGUAUCGACCCCCUGCGUGCCGGAGUUAACACAAUAAGUGGACCGCCGUGGGGAGUACGGCCGCAAAGGUUAAA
RNAcentral lists this ribosomal RNA (334 nucleotides) under uncultured bacterium. RNAcentral describes it as "bacterial SSU rRNA". It matches the Rfam family "Bacterial small subunit ribosomal RNA", at positions 568 to 898 of the family's 1533-position model. The record is from RNAcentral.